UCCAGACUCCUACGGGAGGCAGCAGUGAGGAAUAUUGGUCAAUGGCCGAGAGGCUGAACCAGCCAAGUCGCGUGAGGGAAGACGGCCCUACGGGUUGUAAACCUCUUUUGUCGGGGAGCAAAUUCCGCCACGUGUGGCGGAGUCGAGAGUACCCGAAGAAAAAGCAUCGGCUAACUCCGUGCCAGCAGCCGCGGUAAUACGGAGGAUGCGAGCGUUAUCCGGAUUUAUUGGGUUUAAAGGGUGCGCAGGCGGUCUGUUAAGUCAGCGGUCAAAGCCCGGGGCUCAACCCCGGCCCGUCGUUGAAACUGGCGGGCUGGAGUUGGAGAGAAGUACGCGGAAUGCGCGGUGUAGCGGUGAAAUGCUUAGAUAUCGCGCAGAACCCCGAUUGCGAAGGCAGCGUACCGGCUCCACACUGACGCUGAGGCACGAAAGCGUGGGUAUCGAACAGGAUUAGAUACCCUCGUA
Molecule: ribosomal RNA, 465 nt
Filed under: uncultured bacterium
Lineage: Bacteria
Description: bacterial SSU rRNA
Rfam family: Bacterial small subunit ribosomal RNA
Source: RNAcentral